RNAcentral lists this non-coding RNA (25 nucleotides) under Rattus norvegicus (Norway rat). The record is from RNAcentral. Lineage: Eukaryota; Metazoa; Chordata; Mammalia; Rodentia; Muridae.
UGGCUUGAAAGGUGCGGUUCCUGCU